RNAcentral lists this ribosomal RNA (903 nucleotides) under uncultured bacterium. RNAcentral describes it as "bacterial SSU rRNA". It matches the Rfam family "Bacterial small subunit ribosomal RNA", at positions 33 to 920 of the family's 1533-position model. The record is from RNAcentral.
ACGCUGGCGGCGUGCCUAAUACAUGCAAGUAGAACGCUGAAGGAGGAGCUUGCUUCUCUGGAUGAGUUGCGAACGGGUGAGUAACGCGUAGGUAACCUGCCUGGUAGCGGGGGAUAACUAUUGGAAACGAUAGCUAAUACCGCAUAAUAGUAGAUGUUGCAUGGCAUUUGCUUAAAAGGUGCAAUUGCAUCACUACCAGAUGGACCUGCGUUGUAUUAGCUAGUUGGUGGGGUAACGGCUCACCAAGGCGACGAUACAUAGCCGACCUGAGAGGGUGAUCGGCCACACUGGGACUGAGACACGGCCCAGACUCCUACGGGAGGCAGCAGUAGGGAAUCUUCGGCAAUGGACGGAAGUCUGACCGAGCAACGCCGCGUGAGUGAAGAAGGUUUUCGGAUCGUAAAGCUCUGUUGUAAGAGAAGAACGAGUGUGAGAGUGGAAAGUUCACACUGUGACGGUAUCUUACCAGAAAGGGACGGCUAACUACGUGCCAGCAGCCGCGGUAAUACGUAGGUCCCGAGCGUUGUCCGGAUUUAUUGGGCGUAAAGCGAGCGCAGGCGGUUAGAUAAGUCUGAAGUUAAAGGCUGUGGCUUAACCAUAGUACGCUUUGGAAACUGUUUAACUUGAGUGCAAGAGGGGAGAGUGGAAUUCCAUGUGUAGCGGUGAAAUGCGUAGAUAUAUGGAGGAACACCGGUGGCGAAAGCGGCUCUCUGGCUUGUAACUGACGCUGAGGCUCGAAAGCGUGGGGAGCAAACAGGACUAGAUACCCUGGUAGUCCACGCCGUAAACGAUGAGUGCUAGGUGUUAGACCCUUUCCGGGGUUUAGUGCCGCAGCUAACGCAUUAAGCACUCCGCCUGGGGAGUACGACCGCAAGGUUGAAACUCAAAGGAAUUGACGGGGGC